AAUAGAUACCCCGGUAGUCCAUGCCGUAAACGUUGGGCGCUAGAUGUGGGGACCAUUCCACGGUUUCCGUGUCGCAGCUAGCGCAUUAAGCGCCCCGCCUGGGGAGUACGGCCGCAAGGCUAAAACUCAAAGGAAUUGACGGGGGCCCGCACAAGCGGCGGAGCAUGCGGAUUAAUUCGAUGCAACGCGAAGAACCUUACCAAGGCUUGACAUAUACGAGAACGCUCUAGAAAUAGAGAACUCUUUGGACACUCGUAUACAGGUGGUGCAUGGUUGUCGUCAGCUCGUGCCGUGAGAUGUUGGGUUAAGUCCCGCAACGAGCGCAACCCUCGUUCUAUGUUGCCAGCGGUUCGGCCGGGAACUCAUAGGAGACUGCCGGGGUCAACUCGGAGGAAGGUGGGGAUGACGUCAAAUCAUCAUGCCCCUUAUGUCUUGGGCUUCACGCAUGCUACAAUGGCCGGUACAAAGGGCUGCAAUACCGUAAGGUGGAGCGAAUCCCAAAAAGCCGGUCUCAGUUCGGAUUGAGGU
RNAcentral lists this ribosomal RNA (528 nucleotides) under uncultured bacterium. RNAcentral's name for it is "bacterial SSU rRNA". It matches the Rfam family "Bacterial small subunit ribosomal RNA", at positions 777 to 1304 of the family's 1533-position model. The record is from RNAcentral.